RNAcentral lists this ribosomal RNA (508 nucleotides) under uncultured bacterium. RNAcentral describes it as "partial 16S ribosomal RNA". It matches the Rfam family "Bacterial small subunit ribosomal RNA", at positions 28 to 523 of the family's 1533-position model. The record is from RNAcentral.
GAUGAACGCUAGCUACAGGCUUAACACAUGCAAGUCGAGGGGAAACGAUAUUGGAAGCUUGCUUCCGAUAGGCGUCGACCGGCGCACGGGUGAGUAACGCGUAUCCAACCUGCCCAUCACUGGGGGAUAACCUUGCGAAAGUAAGACUAAUACCCAAUGAUAUCUCAAGAAGACAUCUGAAUGAGAUUAAAGAUUUAUCGGUGAUGGAUGGGGAUGCGUCUGAUUAGCGUGUUGGCGGGGUAACGGCCCAACAAGGCGACGAUCAGUAGGGGUUAUGAGAGGAAGGUCCACCACAUUGGAACUGAGACACGGUCCAAACUCCUACGGGAGGCAGCAGUGAGGAAUAUUGGUCAAUGGGCGAGAGCCUGAACCAGCCAAGUAGCGUGCAGGAUGACGGCCCUAUGGGUUGUAAACUGCUUAUAUAAGGGAAUAAAGUGAGCCUCGUGAGGCUUUUUGCGUGUACCUUAUGAAUAAGGACCGGCUAAUUCCGUGCCAGCCGCCGCGGUAA